Molecule: ribosomal RNA, 1780 nt
Filed under: Escherichia coli
Lineage: Bacteria; Pseudomonadati; Pseudomonadota; Gammaproteobacteria; Enterobacterales; Enterobacteriaceae
Description: partial 23S ribosomal RNA
Rfam family: Bacterial large subunit ribosomal RNA
Source: RNAcentral
AGCUCGAUGAGUAGGGCGGGACACGUGGUAUCCUGUCUGAAUAUGGGGGGACCAUCCUCCAAGGCUAAAUACUCCUGACUGACCGAUAGUGAACCAGUACCGUGAGGGAAAGGCGAAAAGAACCCCGGCGAGGGGAGUGAAAAAGAACCUGAAACCGUGUACGUACAAGCAGUGGGAGCACGCUUAGGCGUGUGACUGCGUACCUUUUGUAUAAUGGGUCAGCGACUUAUAUUCUGUAGCAAGGUUAACCGAAUAGGGGAGCCGAAGGGAAACCGAGUCUUAACUGGGCGUUAAGUUGCAGGGUAUAGACCCGAAACCCGGUGAUCUAGCCAUGGGCAGGUUGAAGGUUGGGUAACACUAACUGGAGGACCGAACCGACUAAUGUUGAAAAAUUAGCGGAUGACUUGUGGCUGGGGGUGAAAGGCCAAUCAAACCGGGAGAUAGCUGGUUCUCCCCGAAAGCUAUUUAGGUAGCGCCUCGUGAAUUCAUCUCCGGGGGUAGAGCACUGUUUCGGCAAGGGGGUCAUCCCGACUUACCAACCCGAUGCAAACUGCGAAUACCGGAGAAUGUUAUCACGGGAGACACACGGCGGGUGCUAACGUCCGUCGUGAAGAGGGAAACAACCCAGACCGCCAGCUAAGGUCCCAAAGUCAUGGUUAAGUGGGAAACGAUGUGGGAAGGCCCAGACAGCCAGGAUGUUGGCUUAGAAGCAGCCAUCAUUUAAAGAAAGCGUAAUAGCUCACUGGUCGAGUCGGCCUGCGCGGAAGAUGUAACGGGGCUAAACCAUGCACCGAAGCUGCGGCAGCGACGCUGAUGCGUUGUUGGGUAGGGGAGCGUUCUGUAAGCCUGUGAAGGUGUGCUGUGAGGCAUGCUGGAGGUAUCAGAAGUGCGAAUGCUGACAUAAGUAACGAUAAAGCGGGUGAAAAGCCCGCUCGCCGGAAGACCAAGGGUUCCUGUCCAACGUUAAUCGGGGCAGGGUGAGUCGACCCCUAAGGCGAGGCCGAAAGGCGUAGUCGAUGGGAAACAGGUUAAUAUUCCUGUACUUGGUGUUACUGCGAAGGGGGGACGGAGAAGGCUAUGUUGGCCGGGCGACGGUUGUCCCGGUUUAAGCGUGUAGGCUGGUUUUCCAGGCAAAUCCGGAAAAUCAAGGCUGAGGCGUGAUGACGAGGCACUACGGUGCUGAAGCAACAAAUGCCCUGCUUCCAGGAAAAGCCUCUAAGCAUCAGGUAACAUCAAAUCGUACCCCAAACCGACACAGGUGGUCAGGUAGAGAAUACCAAGGCGCUUGAGAGAACUCGGGUGAAGGAACUAGGCAAAAUGGUGCCGUAACUUCGGGAGAAGGCACGCUGAUAUGUAGGUGAAGCGACUUGCUCGUGGAGCUGAAAUCAGUCGAAGAUACCAGCUGGCUGCAACUGUUUAUUAAAAACACAGCACUGUGCAAACACGAAAGUGGACGUAUACGGUGUGACGCCUGCCCGGUGCCGGAAGGUUAAUUGAUGGGGUCAGCGCAAGCGAAGCUCUUGAUCGAAGCCCCGGUAAACGGCGGCCGUAACUAUAACGGUCCUAAGGUAGCGAAAUUCCUUGUCGGGUAAGUUCCGACCUGCACGAAUGGCGUAAUGAUGGCCAGGCUGUCUCCACCCGAGACUCAGUGAAAUUGAACUCGCUGUGAAGAUGCAGUGUACCCGCGGCAAGACGGAAAGACCCCGUGAACCUUUACUAUAGCUUGACACUGAACAUUGAGCCUUGAUGUGUAGGAUAGGUGGGAGGCUUUGAAGUGUGG